Molecule: long non-coding RNA, 1063 nt
Filed under: Strigops habroptila (Kakapo)
Lineage: Eukaryota; Metazoa; Chordata; Aves; Psittaciformes; Psittacidae
Description: lncRNA (ENSSHBG00005018699.1)
Source: RNAcentral
UCAAUGAGAGGCUUUAUUUUCCCAAGGGACAAUCACCGGGAUCCAAGAGAGAAAAGGGACAUCUUGGGUUUGAAGAAAGGAACAAAAAGCAGCUGGUUUGUCCAUGGCAGCAUAUGGCAGGGCUCCUGGAGAGCUACAGGAGGGUGUGCAGCCACCUCAGCACAAAACCACCCUCCACUCUCUGCCCAAGAGAGUUACUCAGAUACAACCAUGCCUGAAACGUUUCCCUGCUCCCCACAAGCCUCUGGUUUGCCCCAUGGACUGGAGCUGGCCCAGACAACACCUACAAGAACUAUGGACUGUUCAUUGAAAUUACUCCUGAAUUCAUGCAGUCAUUUCUCCCAGCCAGUAAUCACCAUCAACGUUGGAUUGCUGGGUCCUUCCUGUGUCAUUACAGAUCCUUUAUGUGUUAAAAGAGAGCAAAAAUUAAAGCCAUUUUCUAUCACACAAAGUACUCUCUCCUCCUUGAGGCUCUUCUACACGAGUGGAUCUUUGGAAAUGCAAAUCCUUGUGUGGAACUAACUCCAGCACCUCUGAUUCCUCUGUCUGCUUCAUACCUCCCACUGACAGAGGUAGGGCUGAGCAACAUGAACUGAUGAAGCCCUCUUCCUGCUUGCUGUGCCCAGCUGAGGCAGGUCACACCUGAGGAAGCAGAACAGCUUCACGGAAUGGUUUAGGUUGAAGGGACCUUAAAGCUCCUCCAGCUCCAACCCCUGCCCCGGGCAGGGACACCUUCCACUAGAGCAGCUUGCUCCAAGCCCCUGUGUCCAACCUGGCCUUGAACACUGCCAGGGAUGGGGCAGCCACAGCUUCUCUGGGCACCCUGUGCCAGCACCUCAGCACCCUCACUUCUGCCUUAUUUCUAACCUGAACUUCCCCUGUUGCAGUUUAAACCCAUCACCCCUUGUCCUGUUGCUACAAGUCCUGGAUAUAGAUAAGGCAAGUACAUGAAGAGAGGUGUCACCUCAGUGUCAUUGCCAAGGGAGAUGCCUGCAAUCACAGGGCAGACUGGCUUUUCCCAGGAGGAACGAUGACAUGAAACAAUCCCAUCUGCUGAUUGCAA